RNAcentral lists this transfer RNA (71 nucleotides) under Stegodyphus mimosarum. It matches the Rfam family "tRNA". From Rfam's summary of the family: Transfer RNA (tRNA) molecules are approximately 80 nucleotides in length. Their secondary structure includes four short double-helical elements and three loops (D, anti-codon, and T loops). Further hydrogen bonds mediate the characteristic L-shaped molecular structure. tRNAs have two regions of fundamental functional importance: the anti-codon, which is responsible for specific mRNA codon recognition, and the 3' end, to which the tRNAs corresponding amino acid is attached (by aminoacyl-tRNA synthetases). tRNAs cope with the degeneracy of the genetic code in two manners: having more than one tRNA (with a specific anti-codon) for a particular amino acid; and 'wobble' base-pairing, i.e. permitting non-standard base-pairing at the 3rd anti-codon position. The record is from Rfam by way of RNAcentral. Lineage: Eukaryota; Metazoa; Arthropoda; Arachnida; Araneae; Eresidae.
GCCAUCGUGGUGUAGUGGUAGCACACUUGACGCAUAUUCAAAAGGUCCAGGUUUGAAUCCCAGCAAGGGCA